Molecule: ribosomal RNA, 696 nt
Filed under: uncultured Antarctic cyanobacterium
Lineage: Bacteria; Bacillati; Cyanobacteriota
Description: bacterial SSU rRNA
Rfam family: Bacterial small subunit ribosomal RNA
Source: RNAcentral
GAUGAACGCUGGCGGUCUGCUUAACACAUGCAAGUCGAACGGGCUCUUCGGAGCUAGUGGCGGACGGGUGAGUAACGCGUGAGGAUCUGCCCUUAGGACGGGGACAACAGCUGGAAACGGCUGCUAAUACCCGAUGUGCCGAGAGGUGAAACUAUUUGGCCUGAGGAUGAGCUCGCGUCUGAUUAGCUAGUUGGAGUGGUAACGGCACACCAAGGCGACGAUCAGUAGCUGGUCUGAGAGGAUGAUCAGCCACACUGGGACUGAGACACAGCCCAGACUCCUACGGGAGGCAGCAGUGGGGAAUUUUCCGCAAUGGGCGCAAGCCUGACGGAGCAAGACCGCGUGAGGGAAGAAGGUCUGUGGAUUGUAAACCUCUUUUGAUAGGGAAGAAGACAGUGACGGUACCUAUCGAAUCAGCCUCGGCUAACUCCGUGCCAGCAGCCGCGGUAAUACGGAGGAGGCAAGCGUUAUCCGGAAUUAUUGGGCGUAAAGAGUCCGUAGGUGGGUAACCAAGUCAGCUGUUAAAUAGUGAAGCUUAACUUCAUAGAGGCGGCUGAAACUGGUUGUCUAGAGUGUGGUAGGGGUAGAGGGAAUUUCCAGUGUAGCGGUGAAAUGCGUAGAGAUCAGGAAGAACACCAGUGGCGAAGGCGCUCUGCUAGGCCGUAACUGACACUGAGGGACGAAAGCUAGGGAGCG